GUAGGUGGCAAGCGUUGUCCGGAAUUAUUGGGCGUAAAGCGCGCGCAGGGUGGUUCUUUAAGUCUGAUGUGAAAGCCCCCGGGCUCAACCGGGGAGGGUCAUUGGAAACUGGGGAACUUGAGUGCAGGAGAGGAAAGUGGAAUUCCACGUGUAGCGGUGAAAUGCGUAGAUAUGUGGGGGAACACCAGUGGCGAAGGCGACUUUCUGGCCUGUAACUGACACUGAGGCGCGAAAGCGUGGGGAGCAAACAGGAUUAGAUACCCUGGUAGUCCACGCCGUAAACGAUGAGUGCUAAGUGUUGGGGGGUUUCCGCCCCUCAGUGCUGCAGCUAACGCAUUAAGCACUCCGCCUGGGGAGUACGGCCGCAAGACUG
RNAcentral lists this ribosomal RNA (373 nucleotides) under uncultured organism. RNAcentral describes it as "partial 16S ribosomal RNA". It matches the Rfam family "Bacterial small subunit ribosomal RNA", at positions 527 to 896 of the family's 1533-position model. The record is from RNAcentral.